AAAGGGGGAACGAGAAGGAGAGAGACAGAUCUAUGGAUCGAGAUAGGAAUCGGGAUCGGGAUCGGGAUCCUGGUCGGGAUGGGUACCAGAGUAGAUCUAGGCGAGAACGGUGAAAGGAGACGUUUUGUAAUCUGGGCUAUUUGUAAAUGGAUUCUUGGGGCUUUUCAUUAAGCGAUUAAGGCGUUCUUACAGGAAGGUUCGCUCUAUUGUCCAUUUUAUCCGACUUCGUUUGAGAGCUGAUACGAGGCGUGGAAUGCCACAAAAAAUUAAAGAUAGGCUUCAAAGACUGGUUACAAAUGAUACCGUUAUCUUAUUUGGUCUAUGGGUAGCGCUCUGUUUGAAGUGUGUGUAACCGUCACCCUAACAAUAGCUCAGAAACGCAAAAUAUAACGGAAACUGAGCCGAUCAAUAUGUAGAUAUAUAAUCUUACUUAAUAAACUUCUCAAUUACCCACCCAUGCUUUCUAUCUUUCCUCUGCACUACUUUCUUCGCUGGUAAUGGCCACCCCAUACUUCCCGGAUCCCCCUUCAAUGACGGAAUGAUCCAACACUCACGCUUAUCCGAUGCACCGGCAACUGGUUCAAUCUUCCCAACAGGUUUCCCAUAUUCAAUUAAAGGUGUUCCAUGUCCCAGAGCAGAGAGUUGUAAUCCGCUCACGGCGGUUAGGGGAAACAUUCUGACCUUGGUAGGAGCAUCGGAGAUAGCGCUUAGGGCAGAUUGUUGGAGAUGAGAGUAGAUGAGGUAUUGAGGAAGUUCCGUGGUCGAGAGAUGAGCAAGGACAGAUGUGGGAUGUAUAUAUACGGCUUUUUCAUGGACCUCUCUGGCGUGUCCGUCGAGGGAUGAGAAGAGAGUUAGAUAUGGGACGUCGAUGGCUCUUCGAGGCUUGCGCGGCAUGUCUGGCGGGAUAGGAGCCAUAUCUGCACGAAUUGCGACGUGGUCAAUGAAGCCUGCUGCGGUGAUUUGCUUCAGAGCGCGGAGUUGUUUAUCAGUGGGCUCAGGGAGGCGCAAUUCGAACUGGUUCGUGAUAUUUGGGUUAUUGCUGCGGACGAUCUCGUAAAGCUGGCGGCGGAGUUGGGAGGCCUCUUUCAUAGCGUUAGGACGCAGGAACAUUUGAGAACAGAAGGACUCGCCAUUUGCUGCGUAUGCGUACGCACAUACUGCCGCAAGGGAUUUUAGGGCGUCAGAUUGGUCGUCGUACUUGCUAAAGAUACGGCGGGCUCUGUUGUAAUCCUUUCGCCGCAUUUCUCUCGCGGUAUCCUCAAGUCUAUUCGCGUUUGUGUAGAUUUUACUCUCCUCGUCAUCCUCAUGCUGGACGGGGUUGAGAUCGAGCUGGUUUUCUUGGAUAAAAAGGUCCGACACUGAGAGUGAGGAAACCAAAGCUACUACGUAUGGCAUACAGCCGUGUUGAUGGCCGAUUUGGAGCAUCUUUCCAAACCUUGGGGAGAGUGGAUAUAGACUAAGCUGGCGGCCUGUCUCGGUGACCUGACCAUCCAAAGAGAGGGCGCCAAGGUUCUGCAGUAAUAUUUCCGCUUUGGCAAGACUUGUUCGAUUUGGCGG
RNAcentral lists this small RNA (1557 nucleotides) under Histoplasma capsulatum var. duboisii H88. RNAcentral's name for it is "Histoplasma capsulatum H88 hypothetical RNA". Lineage: Eukaryota; Fungi; Ascomycota; Eurotiomycetes; Onygenales; Ajellomycetaceae. The record is from RNAcentral.